AUCUACAGCAAAGGGGACAGGUGGAUGGAGAAAGUGAAGGAUGAAUACGAUUGCGCAAAAUAUUAUAUGUGCGGAUACACAUGCACGGGAAUGCGAUUGCAAUUGAGAAAGUCAAAAGCUGGGCCAAACAUAUAAAAGACGAACGAACAAAAAAAAAA
This is a long non-coding RNA of Drosophila innubila, 158 nucleotides long. RefSeq lists it as uncharacterized. The transcript has 2 exons. The record is from RefSeq and is a predicted model, not a curated record. Lineage: Eukaryota; Metazoa; Arthropoda; Insecta; Diptera; Drosophilidae.